AGGGACUCGCUCAUAUCUCUCGCUUCGUUUGGUUGCCAUUUGCCAAUAAUUGAAAGAAUACGAAAACGGAAAGUUUAAACCGAGAGAAUUCGGGCUAUUUUCAGCAUAGUAGCAUCAACCAAAGACUCCUUGAUCUUAGCAUAACGCUCUGUCAUUAGAUUGUUGUAACCUUAAACAACUGGUGCAACCAAACGGUGUUGGACCUAUCGCGCGGUGUUUCAUGGUUAUGGGGAAGGGGUUAACUGAGCACCGUGGUUUUAGUUUUGUUCAAUUAUACUCUUGCAUUGUUUGAAGCCUUGCACCUUUAGCAUGUAUUAUGAGCUGAAGAAUGGCUCAUCAGUUGGAAGUCAGAAAAAUGCUGUCAAGCAUGCCAUGCGUAGAGCUCCCCUUCAACAGAGAAGAUCAAAGGCAGAUCAAGAGGAACAUGUGGAAGCCAGAAAAGCAACUGCACUUUCGAAUGUUCUGUUUGCUUAAGGGGUUAGCUCAGAAAAGCAGAGGUAUU
Long non-coding RNA from Juglans microcarpa x Juglans regia, 502 nucleotides. RefSeq lists it as uncharacterized. The transcript has 4 exons. Lineage: Eukaryota; Viridiplantae; Streptophyta; Magnoliopsida; Fagales; Juglandaceae. The record is from RefSeq and is a predicted model, not a curated record.